Molecule: transfer RNA, 71 nt
Filed under: Loxodonta africana (African savanna elephant)
Lineage: Eukaryota; Metazoa; Chordata; Mammalia; Proboscidea; Elephantidae
Rfam family: tRNA
About the family: Transfer RNA (tRNA) molecules are approximately 80 nucleotides in length. Their secondary structure includes four short double-helical elements and three loops (D, anti-codon, and T loops). Further hydrogen bonds mediate the characteristic L-shaped molecular structure. tRNAs have two regions of fundamental functional importance: the anti-codon, which is responsible for specific mRNA codon recognition, and the 3' end, to which the tRNAs corresponding amino acid is attached (by aminoacyl-tRNA synthetases). tRNAs cope with the degeneracy of the genetic code in two manners: having more than one tRNA (with a specific anti-codon) for a particular amino acid; and 'wobble' base-pairing, i.e. permitting non-standard base-pairing at the 3rd anti-codon position.
Source: Rfam by way of RNAcentral
GCAUUGGUGGUUUGGUGGUAAAAUUCUUGCCUUCCAUAUGGAAAAUCUGGGUUCAAUUCCCAGCCAAUACA